CGCCAGGGACUACGGAGUUCUGGCUUUCGAAUCCCGCCAGGUCCUGACGGAAGCAACGGUAGAUUGUCCAGUUUCUGCUGUAGUUCUCUGGCGGCA
RNAcentral lists this signal recognition particle RNA (96 nucleotides) under Verrucomicrobiales bacterium. RNAcentral's name for it is "signal recognition particle sRNA small type". It matches the Rfam family "Bacterial small signal recognition particle RNA". From Rfam's summary of the family: The signal recognition particle (SRP) is a universally conserved ribonucleoprotein involved in the co-translational targeting of proteins to membranes. Archaeal SRP consists of a 7S RNA and homologues of the eukaryotic SRP19 and SRP54 proteins. In most bacteria, the SRP consists of a 4.5S RNA and the Ffh protein (a homologue of the eukaryotic SRP54 protein). Lineage: Bacteria; Pseudomonadati; Verrucomicrobiota; Verrucomicrobiia; Verrucomicrobiales. RNAcentral also lists the same sequence under 1 other name. The record is from RNAcentral.